GUGGGGAAUUUUGCGCAAUGGGCGAAAGCCUGACGCAGCGACGCCGCGUGGAGGAUGAAGGUCUUCGGAUCGUAAACUCCUGUCAGGCGGGACGAAGGGGUCGGCGGCUAAUAGCCGACGGCCUUGACGGUACUGCCAGAGGAAGCCCCGGCUAACUCCGUGCCAGCAGCCGCGGUAAUACGGAGGGGGCAAGCGUUGUUCGGAAUUACUGGGCGUAAAGGGCGAGUAGGCGGCCCCGUAAGUCAUGUGUGAAAGCCCUCGGCUUAACCGAGGAACUGCACCUGAAACUGCGGGGCUUGAGUCCGGGAGAGGGGAGCGGAAUUCCCAGUGUAGCGGUGAAAUGCGUAGAUAUUGGGAGGAACACCUGUGGCGAAGGCGGCUCCCUGGACCGGUACUGACGCUCAGGAGCGAAAGCUAGGGUAGCGAAUGGGAUUAGAUACCCUAGUAGUCC
RNAcentral lists this ribosomal RNA (451 nucleotides) under uncultured bacterium. RNAcentral describes it as "bacterial SSU rRNA". It matches the Rfam family "Bacterial small subunit ribosomal RNA", at positions 354 to 796 of the family's 1533-position model. The record is from RNAcentral.